UAACCUAUGGCGUCCAAACAGACAGUAUUAGAAGAAUCCAUGGGAAUAACCUAUGAUGUCCAAACAGACAGUCAGUAUUAGAAGAGUCCAUGGGAAUAACCUAUGAUGUCCAAACAGACAGUCAGUAUUAGAAGAGUCCAUGGGAAUAACCUAUGGCAUCCAAACAGACAGUAUUAGAAGAAUCCACGGGAAUAACCUAGACAGUCAGUAUUAGAAGAGUUCACAGGAAUAACCUAUGAUGUCCAAGAGUCCACAAGAAUAACCUAUGAUGUCCAAACAGACAGUCAGUAUUAGAAGAUUCCACGGGAAUAACCUAUGGCGUCCAAACAGACAGUAUUAGAAGAGUCCACAAGAAUAACCUAUGGUAUCCAAACAGACAGUCAGUAUUAGAAUAGUCCACGGGAAUAACCUAUGAUGUCCAAACAGACAGUCAGUAUUAGAAGAAUCCACGGGAAUAACCUACAGUGUCCAAACAGACAGACAGUAUUAGAAGAGUCUACAGGAUAACCUAUGAUGUCCAAACAGACAGUCAGUAUUAGAAGAGUCCAUGGGAAUAACCUAUGGUGUCCAAACAGACGGUAUUAGAAGAGUCCACAGGAAUAACCUAUAAUGUCCAAACAGACAGUCAGUAUUAGAAGAGUCCACAGGAAUAACCUAUGAUGUCCAAACAGAAAGUCAAUAUUAGAAGAGUCCACAGGAAUAACCUACAGUGUCCAAACAGAGAGACAGUAUUAGAAGAGUCCACAGGAAUAACCUACAGUGUUCAAACAGACAGACAGUAUUAGAAGUCUACAGGAUAACCUUUGAUGUCCAAACAGACAGUCAGUAUUAGAAGAGUCCAUGGGAAUAACCUGUGGUGUCCAAACAGACAGUAUUAGAAGAAUCCACGGGAAUAACCUAGACAGUCAGUAUUAGAAGAGUUCACAGGAAUAACCUAUGAUGUCCAAGAGUCCACAAGAAUAACCUAUGAUGUCCAAACAGACAGUCAGUAUUAGAAGAUUCCACGGGAAUAACCUAUGGCGUCCAAACAGACAGUAUUAGAAGAGUCCACAAGAAUAACCUAUGGUAUCCAAACAGACAGUCAGUAUUAGAAUAGUCCACGGGAAUAACCUAUGAUGUCCAAACAGACGAUCAGAAUUAGAAAGGUCCACGGGAAUAACCUAUGGUGUCCAAACAGACCGUCAGUAUUAGAAGAGUCCACAGGAAUAACCUACAGUGUCCAAACAGACAGACAGUAUUAGAAGAGUCCACGGGAAUAACCUAUGAUGUCCAAACAGACAAUCAGUAUUAGAAGAGUCCACAGGAAUAACCUAUGAUGUCCAAACAGAAAGUCAAUAUUAGAAGAGUCCAUAGGAAUAACCUACAGUGUCCAAACAGAGAGACAGUAUUAGAAGAGUCCACGGGAAUAACCUACAGUGUCCAAACAGACAGACAGUAUUAGAAGUCUACAGGAUAACCUUUGAUGUCCAAACAGACAGUCAGUAUUAGAAGAGUCCAUGGGAAUAACCUAUGGUGUCCAAACAGACAGGUUAUUCCCAUGGACUCUUCUAAUACUGUCUGUUUGGACACCAUAGGUUAUUCCCAUGGACUCUUCUAAUACUAUGGUAUCCAAACAGAUAGUAUUGGAAGAGUCCAUGGGAAUAACCUAUGGUAUCCAAACAGACAGUCAGUAUUAGAAGAGUCCACGGGAAUAACCUAUGGCGUCCAAACAGCCAGUAUUAGAAGAGUCCACAAGAAUAACCUAUGGUAUCCAAACAGACAGUCCGUAUUAGAAGAGUCCACAAGAAUAACCUAUGGUGUCCAAACAGACAGUCAGUAUUAGAAGAGUCCACGGGAAUAAUCUAUAGCGUCCAAACAGACAGUCAGUAUUAUAAGAGUUCAUGGGAAUAACCUAUGAUGUCCAAACAGACAGUCAAUAUUAGAAGAGUCCACGGGAAUAACCUAUGAUGUCCAAACAGACGGUCAGUAUUAGAAGAGUCCACGGGAAUAACCUAUGAUGUCCAAACAGACGGUCAGUAUUAGAAGAGUCCACGGGAAUAACCUAUGGUGUCCAAACAGACGGUCAGUAUUAGAAGAGUCCACGGGAAUAACCUAUGGUGUCCAAACAGACGGUCAGUAUUAGAAGAGUCCACGGGAAUAACCUAUGGUGUCCAAACAGACAGUCAGUAUUAGAAGAGUCCACGGGAAUAAUCUAUGGCGUCCAAACAGAAAGUCAGUAUUAGAAGAGUCCACGGGAAUAAUCUAUGGCGUCCAAACAGACAGUCAGUAUUAUAAGAGUCCACGGGAAUAACCUACGGUGUCCAGACAGUCAGUAUUAUAACGGCUGUGUAUGUCCAGAUCACAAAGACUCCCUAAAUAAAAAAUCUAUAAUUAUGGUAGGCCAUUAAAAGUAGUUGGUAAAUUAUACUUUCUUAGGCAUAAAUAUUCCAGGAUUGCAGAGUUGUAAACGUUAAAAAAAAUAUAUACAUCGACAUACUAAAGAUGUGAUAUCACAGGUGUAAACGUUAAAACAAAGAAUAUGAACAUACUAAAGAUGUGACAUCACAGGUGUAAACGUUAAAACAAAGAAUAUGAACAUACUAAAGAUGUGACAUCACAGGUGUAAACGUUAAAACAAAGAUGUAACAUCACAGGUGUAAACGUUAAAACAAAGAAUAUCAACAUACUAAAGAUGUGACAUCACAGGUGUAAACAUUAAAACAAAGAAUAUCGACAUACUAAAGAUGUGACAUCACAGGUGUAAACGUUAAAACAAAGAAUAUCGACAUACUAAAGAUGUGACAUCACAGGUGUAAACGUUGAAAUAAAGAAUAUCGACAUACUAAAGAUGUGACAUCACAGGUGUAAACGUUAAAACAAAGAAUAUCGACAUACUAAAGAUGUGACAUCACAGGUGUAAACAUUGAAAUAAAGAUGUAACAUCACAGUGUAAACGUUAAAACAAAGAUGUAACAUCACAGUGUAAACGUUAAAACAAAGAAUAUCAACAUACUAAAGAUGUGACAUCACAGGUGUAAAUGUUAAAACAAAGAAUAUCGACAUACUAAAGAUGUGACAUCACAGGUGUAAACAUUAAAACAAAGAAUAUCAACAUACUAAAGAUGUGACAUCACAGGUGUAAACGUUAAAACGAAUAUCAACAUACUAAAGAUGUGACAUCACAGGUGUAAACGUUAAAACAAAGAAUAUCAACAUACUAAAGAUGUGACAUCACAGGUGUAAACAUUAAAACAAAGAAUAUCAACAUACUAAAGAUGUGAUAUCACAGGUGUAAACGUUAAAACAAAGAAUAUGAACAUACUAAAGAUGUGACAUCACAGGUGUAAACGUUAAAACAAAGAUGUAACAUCACAGUGUAAACGUUAAAACAAAGAAUAUCAACAUACUAAAGAUGUGACAUCACAGGUGUAAACAUUAAAACAAAGAAUAUCGACAUACUAAAGAUGUGACAUCACAGGUGUAAACGUUAAAACAAAGAAUAUCAACAUACUACAGAUGCGACAUCACAGGUGUAAACAUUAAAACAAAGAAUAUCAACAUACUACAGAUGCGACAUCACAGGUGUAAACAUUAAAACAAAGAAUAUCGACAUACUACAGAUGCGACAUCACAAGUGUAAACAUUAAGAAUAUCCACACACUAAAGAUGCGACAUCACUGGUGGAAACGUUAAAGAAUAUCCACACACUAAAGAUGAGACAUCACUGGUGGAAACGUUAAAAAAUAUCCACACACUAAAGAUGUGACAUCACUGGUGGAAUCGUUAAAGAAUAUCCACACACUAAAGAUGUGACAUCACUGGUGGAAUCGUUAAAGAAUAUCCACACACUAAAGAUGUGACAUCACAGGUGGAAACGUUAAAGAAUAUCCACACACUAAAGAUGUGACAUAACUGGUGGAAACGUUAAAGAAUAUCCACACACUAAAGAUGUGACAUCACUGGUGGAAACGUUAAAGAAUAUCCACACACUAAAGAUGUGACAUCACUGGUGGAAUCGUUAAAGAAUAUCCACACACUAAAGAUGUGACAUCACUGGUGGAAUCGUUAAAGAAUAUCCACACACUAAAGAUGUGACAUCACAGGUGGAAACGUUAAAGAAUAUCCACACACUAAAGAUGUGACAUCACAGGUGGAAACGUUAAAGAAUAUCCACACACUAAAGAUGUGACAUCACAGGUGGAAACGUUAAAGAAUAUCCACACACUAAAGAUGUAACAUCACAAGUGUAAACAUUAAGAAUAUCCACACACUAAAGAUGUGACAUCACAGGUGUAAACAUUAAGAAUAUCCACACACUAAAGAUGUGACAUCACAAGUGUAAACUAAAGAUGUAACAUCACAAGUGUAAACAUUAAGAAUAUCCACACACUAAAGAUGUGACAUCACAGGUUAUUCCUCUGGACCCUUCCAAUACAUGUUGGUGAAUGAUCAAGACAUGUGACAAUUCAGAUCACUUUGUACGAUCACAGACAAAACCAUUUACUCACCUGGGAACAGAAAUGUUGAGCCGAGGAAUAUGAUCAUCAUAUAGAUUUGACAGGACACUGUAUUGUCUUCCGGUGCACUGUAAGCAGUGAAUGGGUUAAAUCUGUUCCAGAACUCAUCAAACAGGAGGUGGGAGGGUUGGGGUUAAUAACUUCAUCAAACAGGAGGUGGGAGGGUUGGGGUUAAUAACUUCAUCAAACAGGAGGUGGGAGGGUUGGGGUUAAUAACUUUGUGACUAUAUCGAGUCUGAACUCGUCACACAGGUGGGAGGGUUGGGGUUAAUAACUUCAUCACACAGGAGGCGGGAGGGUUGGGGUUAAUAACUUCAUCAAACAGGAGGUGGGAGGGUUGGGGUUAACAACUUCAUCAAACAGGAGGUGGGAGGGUUGGGGUUAAUAACUUCAUCAAACAGGAGGUGGGAGGGUUGGGGUUAAUAACUUUGUGACUAUACCGAGUCUGAACUCGUCAAACAGGAGGUGGGAGGGUUGGGGUUAAUAACUUCAUCAAACAGGAGGUGGGAGGGUUGGGGUUAAUAACGUCAUGACUAUACUGAGUCUGAACUCGUCAAACAGGAGGUGGGAGGGUUGGGGUUAAUAACGUCAUGACUAUACCGAGUCUGAACUCGUCAAACAGGAGGUGGGAGGGUUGGGGUUAAUAACUUCAUCAAACAGGAGGUGGGAGGGUUGGGGUUAAUAACAUCAUGACUAUACCGAGUCUGAACUCGUCAAACAGGUGGGAGGGUUGGGGUCAAUAACGUCAUGACUAUACCGAGUCUGAACUCGUCAAACAGGAGGUGGGAGGUUUGGGGUUAAUAACUUCAUCAAACAGGAGGUGGGAGGGUUGAGGUUAAUAACGUCAUGACUAUACUGAGUCUGCUGUAAGUCGGCCAGCACCAGCUAUUUUUCACCAAUACAGGAGACAGGAAAGCAAAAUCAACCAAUUAACUCUUCGACUACUUAUUUUUAAAUUAUAUUUUAUUAUUGCACUUAUUUCAAUCCUUUACUUAUGUAACAGUACAUUGUAUUUAGUGCAGCCAGGUGACAACAAAACAAAAAAAAGCCCUCCCCUCAAUUCUUUGUAAAGUUUGCAGACCAAAUUUGAAAAGAUUAUAUUACUAUUUUUAUUUAUUA
This is a long non-coding RNA of Gigantopelta aegis, 5615 nucleotides long. RefSeq lists it as uncharacterized. The transcript is spliced from 2 exons. NCBI's taxonomy places the organism in Eukaryota, Metazoa, Mollusca, Gastropoda, Neomphalida, Peltospiridae. The record is from RefSeq and is a predicted model, not a curated record.